GAGUUUGAUCCUGGCUCAGGAUGAACGCUAGCGGCAGGCUUAACACAUGCAAGUCGAGGGGUAACGGGGAAGCUUGCUUCCGCCGACGACCGGCGCACGGGUGCGUAACGCGUAUACAAUCUACCUUGUACUGGGGUAUAGCCUUUAGAAAUGAAGAUUAAUCCCCCAUAGUCUCUUAGAGUGGCAUCACUUCUAGAGUAAAGGUUACGGUAUAAGAUGAGUAUGCGUUCUAUUAGUUUGUUGGUGUGGUAACGGCACACCAAGACUACGAUAGAUAGGGGCCCUGAGAGGGGGAUCCCCCACACUGGUACUGAGACACGGACCAGACUCCUACGGGAGGCAGCAGUGAGGAAUAUUGGACAAUGGAGGCAACUCUGAUCCAGCCAUGCCGCGUGCAGGAAGACUGCCCUAUGGGUUGUAAACUGCUUUUAUACAGGAAGAAACACCUCUACGUGUAGAGGCUUGACGGUACUGUAAGAAUAAGGAUCGGCUAACUCCGUGCCAGCAGCCGCGGUAAUACGGAGGAUCCAAGCGUUAUCCGGAAUCAUUGGGUUUAAAGGGUCCGUAGGUGGAUAAUUAAGUCAGAGGUGAAAUCUUGCAGCUCAACUGUAAAAUUGCCUUUGAAACUGGUUAUCUUGAGUUAUUAUGAAGUAGUUAGAAUAUGUAGUGUAGCGGUGAAAUGCAUAGAUAUUACAUAGAAUACCAAUUGCGAAGGCAGAUUACUAAUAAUCAACUGACACUGAUGGACGAAAGCGUGGGUAGCGAACAGGAUUAGAUACCCUGGUAGUCCACGCCGUAAACGAUGGUUACUAGCUGUUUGGACUUCGGUCUGAGUGGCUAAGCGAAAGUGAUAAGUAACCCACCUGGGGAGUACGUUCGCAAGAAUGAAACUCAAAGGAAUUGACGGGGGCCCGCACAAGCGGUGGAGCAUGUGGUUUAAUUCGAUGAUACGCGAGGAACCUUACCAGGGCUUAAAUGUAAGUUGCAUUAGUUAGAGAUAGCUAUUUCUUCGGACCACUUACAAGGUGCUGCAUGGUUGUCGUCAGCUCGUGCCGUGAGGUGUCAGGUUAAGUCCUAUAACGAGCGCAACCCCUGUUGUUAGUUGCCAGCGAGUCAUGUCGGGAACUCUAACAAGACUGCCAGUGCAAACUGUGAGGAAGGUGGGGAUGACGUCAAAUCAUCACGGCCCUUACGUCCUGGGCUACACACGUGCUACAAUGGUAGGUACAGAGAGCAGCCACUGCGCGAGCAGGAGCGAAUCUAUAAAACCUAUCACAGUUCGGAUCGGAGUCUGCAACUCGACUCCGUGAAGCUGGAAUCGCUAGUAAUCGGAUAUCAGCCAUGAUCCGGUGAAUACGUUCCCGGGCCUUGUACUCACCGCCCGUC
Molecule: ribosomal RNA, 1386 nt
Filed under: uncultured marine bacterium
Lineage: Bacteria
Description: bacterial SSU rRNA
Rfam family: Bacterial small subunit ribosomal RNA
Source: RNAcentral